AGAAAAGUAAGCUAAAUAUAAGCUAAUGGGUUCAUACCCCAUAUAUAGAGUACAACACUCUCUUCUCUA
This 69-nucleotide transfer RNA is filed under the name Amitermes sp. 3 TB-2017. RNAcentral describes it as "tRNA-Met". Lineage: Eukaryota; Metazoa; Arthropoda; Insecta; Blattodea; Termitidae. The record is from RNAcentral.